This 774-nucleotide ribosomal RNA is filed under the name uncultured Neocallimastigales. RNAcentral describes it as "partial large subunit ribosomal RNA". It matches the Rfam family "Eukaryotic large subunit ribosomal RNA", at positions 22 to 643 of the family's 3401-position model. Lineage: Eukaryota; Fungi; Neocallimastigomycota; Neocallimastigomycetes; Neocallimastigales. The record is from RNAcentral.
GUACACGCUGUGACUAGCAUAUCAAUAAGCGGAGGAAAAGAAACUAACAAGGAUUCCCCUAGUAACGGCGAGUGAAGCGGGAAGAGCUCAAAUUUGAAAUCUUAAAGGGUUUCCCUUUACGAAUUGUAGUUUAAAGAAGUGUUUUCUGUUGAGGUUUUGGUAAAAGUUCUUUGGAAUAGGACAUCAUAGAGGGUGAGAAUCCCGUAUUUGACCUUUACUUUCAACUUUGUGAUACACUUUCAAAGAGUCGGAUUGUUUGGGAAUGCAGUCCAAAAUGGGUGGUAAAUUUCAUCUAAAGCUAAAUAUUGGCGAGAGACCGAUAGCGAACAAGUACCGUGAGGGAAAGAUGGAAAGAACUUUGAAAAGAGAGCUAAACAGUACGUGAAAUUGUCAAAAGGGAAGCGUUUGACACCAGUGUUGUUUUUCUGAAAAUCAAUUAAAGAACUGUUUAUGCUAAGCUGUUUAGACUUUAUCAGCUAUCUGUUUAGUUUUGAGCUUUUCUUUAAUGCACUUUUCAGUUAACAAGUCAACAUCAAUUUCUUUUGCUGUAAAAAAGCUUGAGGAAGGUGGCUUGAGAUUCGUCUUAAGUGUUUAUAGCCUCUUGCCUAUGCAGUCGGAGAGAUUGAGGUCUGCAGCGUAGAUCCUUCGGGGCUAAAUGCAUUUGUGCUAAGUUAUAGCAUUUUAUAGACAACUUGUUGACUAUGAUUUGUCUUGUAGCUUACUCGCUUAUGUUAUUUUACCUACGCUUAGGAUGUUGACACACGCGCGUGCUCG